CCUACGGGCCGCAGCAGUGGGGAAUAUUGGACAAUGGGCGAAAGCCUGAUCCAGCAAUGCCGCGUGUGUGAAGAAGGUCUUCGGAUUGUAAAGCACUUUCGACAGGGACGUUGAUGACGGUACCCGUAGAAGAAGCCCCGGCUAACUUCGUGCCAGCAGCCGCGGUAAUACGAAGGGGGCUAGCGUUGCUCGGAAUGACUGGACGUAAAGGGCGCGUAGGCGGUUUAUGCAGUCAGAUGUGAAAUCCCCGGACUUAACCUGGGAACUGCAUUUGAGACGCAUAGACUAGAGGUCGAGAGAGGGUUGUGGAAUUCCAGUGUAGAGGUGAAAUUCGUAGAUAUUGGGAAGAACACCGGUGGCGAAGGCGGCAACCUGGCUCGAUACUGACGCUGAGGCGCGAAAGCGUGGGGAGCAAACAGGAUUAGAUACCCUCGUAGUC
This 439-nucleotide ribosomal RNA is filed under the name uncultured bacterium. RNAcentral's name for it is "bacterial SSU rRNA". It matches the Rfam family "Bacterial small subunit ribosomal RNA", at positions 338 to 795 of the family's 1533-position model. The record is from RNAcentral.